UCAAUCUGAUUGAUGGAUUGUGUUGUGCAGUAAGCAGGCUCAGGUGUAUAACUGUGGCUCCUUCCAACUUCAAAUAGGCAUGAGGGCCAACCAUGGAGAAUAGUUAUAUCAGAUGUGAACAGGCUACAUAGAGGGCACAACAUGAUCAGAGGUAUGUUUUGAUGUGAGAUGCCAACCCCCAGUCCCGUCAUCGCCACCUCACCCGCUCUUAAGAUAACCUUCGGGCCGACUGGGGGCCUAAGGCUGGUUAGGAGACUAAGCUAGAGACACUAUUAUGUAAUUGUGAUGAACAGAGAAUAUUAGGGUAACACUGUGAUUCAUUAAUCAUAUACGGUCUAACCUGCUUCUCUGUUCCCUUUUUGUCUUUUAUACCUUUCUCGCCA
This is a long non-coding RNA of Oncorhynchus tshawytscha (Chinook salmon), 383 nucleotides long. Lineage: Eukaryota; Metazoa; Chordata; Actinopteri; Salmoniformes; Salmonidae. The record is from Ensembl.